ACGAGACAGUAAAAUUAGUUUUAUAUUUAAACAAAAAAAAUUUUUAGCGCUUUUUAAUGCUUAAAACAUUGACAAGUCUGGUAAUCAAUCAUCUGUUUAAAAUAUCAAGAAGAAAUGAAGAAAAUGCAAAAUUCGAUAAAUAGGAAGGAGAAGUAAAAAAGAAAUUUGCGAUGACAUUUAAACAUCAGUCUUUAAUUUGCUAUUUUCCUAAAAUGUUUUGGUGAAAAUGUGCUCUAUAAUAGUGAAAAAUUAAUAGAGAAAAUAAAAAAAGAAAGAAAAUAAAACCAAAUAUUAAACCAAUAAAAAAAAUCCAUUUUAAAGAAAUAAGUGUAUAUUAUUGAAAAAAAUAAAAUAUAUUAUAAAAAAGUAGAUUAAAAAAAUAUAUAUAAGAGAAUUUCUUCAAUACAUAAAUAUGUAUAAAAAUUCCAUCAUUAAAUAAUCGGGGAAAAAAAAGAAAUACGUACAUACAAUCAAAACGCCAAUUAAUAGCUUUUACAGCCAAUGAAGUGUGAGGUUGAAAAUAAAAUUUUGAUAUUUUUAAGUAAAUAAAUAAACCUCAAAAAAUAGUGAACAACAAUUUAUUAACAUAUAUAUAUUAUGAUUAAUUACGGAAAUUGAAAAGAAAUUGUUUUUUUUUUAUAAAUAGAUUAAAGAUAAAUUGUGGUCUGUGUGAUUGAUGUUUGUUGGUCUGUAAAACAAAAGAAAUUUAUGCAUAUUUCCAUUGUUACAAUAACAACAACAACAACAAAAGUAAAAGAGGAAUAAAAUAGUACCCUCAGUUUUUUAUAAUAACAACAACAAAUAACAAAAAAAGUUUUUAGUAAAACGUCUUUAUUGUUGUGUUUUUUUAUUUUUUCGGCAAUUAGGUAUUUUGUGUUUUACUGCUUUUUAUCUUCAUUUACAUACUUUUAACAACAAUAACAACAAACUAUUAUUUACAAUAAUAACAAAUUGAAAAUAAAAACAAAAGAAAAAUAUUGUUUUGCACUGUGGUGUUAUUUUACUCGAAAUAAAACAAAACUUUUGUUUUCAAUUCUGGAAUUACAAUUGUUUAUGCGGAAUUUUUACAACAGAUGAAACAAAUUUAUGACUUAUCUGUUUAUAAGAGUUACAAAAUAAACCUAAAGAAAAACAGAAUUUUUUA
Lucilia cuprina (Australian sheep blowfly) is the source of this 1144-nucleotide long non-coding RNA. RefSeq lists it as uncharacterized. Lineage: Eukaryota; Metazoa; Arthropoda; Insecta; Diptera; Calliphoridae. The transcript is spliced from 3 exons. The record is from RefSeq and is a predicted model, not a curated record.